UUGAUGGAGGGAUGGAAAUUGUUGAAAUCAUGGUGGAAUUCCUCAAGGGCUUCUUUUCCAUGGGUCCAGAUGAUGCAGAUGCCAUCAAUGUAGCUCAAGUAGAGUAGGGGCAUUAGAACAAUGU
Long non-coding RNA from Gopherus evgoodei (Goodes thornscrub tortoise), 124 nucleotides. RefSeq lists it as uncharacterized. The transcript has 3 exons. The record is from RefSeq and is a predicted model, not a curated record. Lineage: Eukaryota; Metazoa; Chordata; Testudines; Testudinidae.